RNAcentral lists this ribosomal RNA (482 nucleotides) under Theloderma licin. RNAcentral describes it as "partial 16S ribosomal RNA". It matches the Rfam family "Bacterial large subunit ribosomal RNA", at positions 1851 to 2553 of the family's 2925-position model. Lineage: Eukaryota; Metazoa; Chordata; Amphibia; Anura; Rhacophoridae. The record is from RNAcentral.
GGUCUAGCCUGCGCAGUGAUAAAUUCAACGGCCGCGGUAACCUAACCGUGCGAAGGUAGCAUAAUCACUUGUUCCUUAAAUAGGGACUUGAAUCAACGGCACCACGAGGGUUACACUGUCUCCUUUCCCUAAUCAAUGAAACUGAUCUUCCCGUGAAGAAGCGGGAAUAAAACCAUAAGACGAGAAGACCCCAUGGAGCUUCAAACUAAACGGCACCUCAACUUCCCCACCCCCACACAUAAUAGAGUAAUGCCUAGAAGUUUUGGGUUGGGGCGACCGCGGAGUAUAAAACAACCUCCACAACGAAAAGAACUAAACCUUCAUCCAAGAGACACCUCUCAAAGAACUAGAACCCUAACGAACAAUGACCCGAUACGAUCAAUGAACCAAGUUACCCUGGGGAUAACAGCGCAAUCUACCCCAAGAGCCCCUAUCGACGGGUAGGCUUACGACCUCGAUGUUGGAUCAGGGUAACCUGGCGG